UACGAAGGGGGCUAGCGUUGUUCGGAUUUACUGGGCGUAAAGGGCGCGUAGGCGGGUUGCUAAGUCAGGGGUGAAAUGCCGGGGCUCAACCUCGGAACUGCCUUUGAUACUGGCGAUCUUGAGUCCGGGAGAGGUGAGUGGAACUGCGAGUGUAGAGGUGAAAUUCGUAGAUAUUCGCAAGAACACCAGUGGCGAAGGCGGCUCACUGGCCCGGAACUGACGCUGAGGCGCGAAAGCGUGGGGAGCAAACAGG
This 253-nucleotide ribosomal RNA is filed under the name uncultured bacterium. RNAcentral's name for it is "partial 16S ribosomal RNA". It matches the Rfam family "Bacterial small subunit ribosomal RNA", at positions 524 to 776 of the family's 1533-position model. The record is from RNAcentral.